UUAAAGGCUAUGAAGGGAACCGAUUUGUAGUUCUUCUAUCCCUGUUUAUUUAGAGAGGCAGCGGUCGGUGCAAGCUGCUACAAAUAGAAGAAUGAAUUACAUCCCAGAGCUUUCUCUGUGAAAGGACUAGUAGCAGAGACCGGUUAUAACCGUUAUUUUGUUUGAGUUGGAGGAUUAUAUUCCUCAAGCUGGGUGGUACCGCGAUGAUUCGUCCCUGCA
This 219-nucleotide non-coding RNA is filed under the name Bacillus sp. (in: firmicutes). RNAcentral describes it as "Bacillus sp. T-box sequence". It matches the Rfam family "T-box leader". From Rfam's summary of the family: Uncharged tRNA acts as the effector for transcription antitermination of genes in the T-box leader family. T-boxes are found upstream of many aminoacyl-tRNA synthetase genes and some amino acid biosynthetic genes usually in Gram-positive bacteria. The anticodon of a specific tRNA base pairs to a specifier sequence within the T-box motif, and the NCCA acceptor tail of the tRNA base pairs to a conserved bulge in the T-box antiterminator hairpin. The record is from RNAcentral. Lineage: Bacteria; Bacillati; Bacillota; Bacilli; Caryophanales; Bacillaceae.